This 498-nucleotide ribosomal RNA is filed under the name uncultured crenarchaeote. RNAcentral's name for it is "bacterial SSU rRNA". It matches the Rfam family "Archaeal small subunit ribosomal RNA", at positions 75 to 573 of the family's 1478-position model. Lineage: Archaea; Thermoproteati; Thermoproteota. The record is from RNAcentral.
UACAAGGCAUACGGCUCAGUAACGCGUAGCCCAUUUAACCUAUGGACGGGAAUAACCUCGGGAAACUGAGAAUAAUGCCCGAUAGAACAUUAUGCCUGGAAUGGUUUAUGUUCCAAAUGAUUUAUCGCCGUAGGAUGGGACUGCGGCCUAUCAGUUUGUUGGUGAGGUAAUGGCCCACCAAGACUAUUACAGGUACGGGCUCUGAGAGGAGUAGCCCGGAGAUGGGUACUGAGACACGGACCCACGCCCUAUGGGGCGCAGCAGGCGAGAAAACUUUGCAAUGUGCGAAAGCACGACAAGGUUAAUCCGAGUGGUUUCUGCUAAAGAAACCUUUUGUCAGUCCUAGAAACACUGAUGAAUAAGGGGUGGGCAAGUUCUGGUGUCACCCGCCGCGGUAAAACCACCACCUCAAGUGGUCAGGAUGAUUAUUGGGCCUAAAGCAUCCGUAGCCGGCUCUGUAAGUUUUCGGUUAAAUCUGUACGCUCAACGUACAGGCUG